This 1372-nucleotide ribosomal RNA is filed under the name uncultured bacterium. RNAcentral's name for it is "bacterial SSU rRNA". It matches the Rfam family "Bacterial small subunit ribosomal RNA", at positions 28 to 1381 of the family's 1533-position model. The record is from RNAcentral.
GAUGAACGCUGGCGGCGUGCCUAAUACAUGCAAGUCGAGCGAACGGACGAGAAGCUUGCUUCUCUGAUGUUAGCGGCGGACGGGUGAGUAACACGUGGAUAACCUACCUAUAAGACUGGGAUAACUUCGGGAAACCGGAGCUAAUACCGGAUAAUAUUUUGAACCGCAUGGUUCAAAAGUGAAAGACGGCCUUGCUGUCACUUAUAGAUGGAUCCGCGCUGCAUUAGCUAGUUGGUAAGGUAACGGCUUACCAAGGCAACGAUGCAUAGCCGACCUGAGAGGGUGAUCGGCCACACUGGAACUGAGACACGGUCCAGACUCCUACGGGAGGCAGCAGUAGGGAAUCUUCCGCAAUGGGCGAAAGCCUGGCGGAGCAACGCCGCGUGAGUGAUGAAGGUCUUCGGAUCGUAAAACUCUGUUAUUAGGGAAGAACAUAUGUGUAAGUAACUGUGCACAUCUUGACGGUACCUAAUCAGAAAGCCACGGCUAACUACGUGCCAGCAGCCGCGGUAAUACGUAGGUGGCAAGCGUUAUCCGGAAUUAUUGGGCGUAAAGCGCGCGUAGGCGGUUUUUUAAGUCUGAUGUGAAAGCCCACGGCUCAACCGUGGAGGGUCAUUGGAAACUGGAAAACUUGAGUGCAGAAGAGGAAAGUGGAAUUCCAUGUGUAGCGGUGAAAUGCGCAGAGAUAUGGAGGAACACCAGUGGCGAAGGCGACUUUCUGGUCUGUAACUGACGCUGAUGUGCGAAAGCGUGGGGAUCAAACAGGAUUAGAUACCCUGGUAGUCCACGCCGUAAACGAUGAGUGCUAAGUGUUAGGGGGUUUCCGCCCCUUAGUGCUGCAGCUAACGCAUUAAGCACUCCGCCUGGGGAGUACGACCGCAAGGUUGAAACUCAAAGGAAUUGACGGGGACCCGCACAAGCGGUGGAGCAUGUGGUUUAAUUCGAAGCAACGCGAAGAACCUUACCAAAUCUUGACAUCCUUUGACAACUCUAGAGAUAGAGCCUUCCCCUUCGGGGGACAAAGUGACAGGUGGUGCAUGGUUGUCGUCAGCUCGUGUCGUGAGAUGUUGGGUUAAGUCCCGCAACGAGCGCAACCCUUAAGCUUAGUUGCCAUCAUUAAGUUGGGCACUCUAAGUUGACUGCCGGUGACAAACCGGAGGAAGGUGGGGAUGACGUCAAAUCAUCAUGCCCCUUAUGAUUUGGGCUACACACGUGCUACAAUGGACAAUACAAAGGGCAGCGAAACCGCGAGGUCAAGCAAAUCCCAUAAAGUUGUUCUCAGUUCGGAUUGUAGUCUGCAACUCGACUACAUGAAGCUGGAAUCGCUAGUAAUCGUAGAUCAGCAUGCUACGGUGAAUACGUUCCCGGGUCU